Molecule: long non-coding RNA, 1202 nt
Filed under: Pan troglodytes (chimpanzee)
Lineage: Eukaryota; Metazoa; Chordata; Mammalia; Primates; Hominidae
Description: long non-coding RNA NONPTRT001146
Source: RNAcentral
GCCGUCCACCCCGCCCCGCCGGGGGCUGGGGCGAAAGCGGAACAAGUCGGCGGGGCUGGUUGGGCCGCGACCUCCGGGGCACGUGGCCGCAGACAGUGCCCGUGCCGGGGCGGGGAGGCGAGUUCUCCCUGCGGCCGCGGACCCUGGAUGGUGGCGUCGCCCGAAGACGCGCCUCACCGGCCUGGGUGGGGUUGCCUUUUGCCCUCGAGGCUGGCCUGAGCGCUGGGGGGCCGCUGGCUAACCCUGAGGUAGAUACUCGGGAAAUGGGUGGAAUAGGGAAAGGGACUCAGCCCUUCCGCCCUUUUCCCCAGUCGAGGCCCGCGUCACUGCCCUGUGGGUGCAGACGCCUCCAGUGUCACUCCCCUGGGUUUCGCUUGGGCAGAAGAAGAGAUUGUAGGCCGGACCCCAACGCCGAAGCCCUGAGGCUUCUAAUGUGAGGAAAAACACGGAAUGACAAGUGUGGGAAAGAGCAAGCACUAAAUUACUGUCAGAAAAAUAAACGGAGUAGCACAGUGCUGCUCGGUGAUUUACGGGGGCAAUUAGUCACCACCCCACGGCGCUGCUGAGGACAGCACAGCAGCAGACAAGUCAGGCCCACGAGGAAGAAGAGGCUUUGCACUGCUCUCCAGACAACUUUUCAAACAACAAGAGAGGAUAUUUGAGCACAUUAGGUUUUGUGUCUUCAUUCUGGGUACCUACUCUUCAUAUUAUUCUACCAACUUAAUACAUAAACAUAUUUUUAGCACAAUAUGAACCUGUUCUAUGUGUGUUUAAAAGCCUCCAGCAGCAACUUUUUUCUCUCCCACUGUCCAAAGUUGGGUUUUCCCCAUCCCUUAAAAAACAAAACAAAAAAACCUUUCUUCACUCCAAAUUGUCCCCCUGGUGUGUGGUUUUGGUCUGUCUCAUUACUUCUUGCAUCUUGCUACAUGUUCUGCCUUUGCUCAGAGCCACUGGGUGCUAAGGAAUUUGGUCUGCUGCUCCUCUGGGAAAGUUUGGUAAGCUGGUACAAGGAGGUGAUGAACAAGGCUAAAUGAAAAUCAUACAUAAACUUCCCAAUAUUUGUGAACAUGUUCUUUAACAUACCAUACAUAGUUUCUAUGUAUAUGUAACAUAGCAAAACAAACUUGCUAAGGUAUAAUUAAUUGGUAUGCAUGCCUUCAUAAAUAUUCACCAUCAGAAGAAACCUAGAAUGAAAGGUUGUG